AAUAUUUUUUUCAAUCCCCUUUCUUUGUAUCUUCUUCUUCUGGGACCCCUGUAAUUAGAAUGUUGGUGCACUUAAUGUUGUCCCAUUGGUCUCUGUGACUGUCCUCAUUUCUUUUUUUUUUUUUUUUCUUUAUUCUUCUCUGCUUCAGUUAUUUCCAC
Molecule: long non-coding RNA, 158 nt
Organism: Cervus elaphus (red deer)
Lineage: Eukaryota; Metazoa; Chordata; Mammalia; Artiodactyla; Cervidae
Exons: 3
Source: RefSeq, a predicted model, not a curated record